AUUGAACGCUGGCGGAAUGCUUUACACAUGCAAGUCGAACGGCAGCACGGACUUCGGUCUGGUGGCGAGUGGCGAACGGGCGAGUAAUGUAUCGGAACGUGCCCAGUCGUGGGGGAUAACGUAGUGAAAAUUACGCUAAUACCGCAUACGAUCUAUGGAUGAAAGCGGGGGAUCGCAAGACCUCGCGCGAUUGGAGCGGCCGAUAUCAGAUUAGGUAGUUGGUGGGGUAAAGGCCCACCAAGCCAACGAUCUGUAGCUGGUCUGAGAAGACGACCAGCCACACCGGAACUGAGACACGGUCCAGACUCAUAUGGGAGGCAGCAGUGGGGAAUUUUGGAUAAUGGGCGAAAGCGUGAUCCAGCCAUUCCGCGUGCAGGAUGAAGGCCCUCGGGUUGUAAACUGCUUUUGUACAGAACGAAAAGGUUUCUACUAAUACUAGGAGCUCAUGACGGUACUGUAAGAAUAAGCACCGGCUAACUACGUGCCAGCCGCCGCCGUAA
Molecule: ribosomal RNA, 500 nt
Filed under: uncultured bacterium
Lineage: Bacteria
Description: partial 16S ribosomal RNA
Rfam family: Bacterial small subunit ribosomal RNA
Source: RNAcentral